AAGUCGUAACAAGGUUUCCGUAGGUGAACCUGCGGAAGGAUCAUUAAUAGUAUCUAAAAUAUACCUUAUUGUGCAUUGUUUUUGCUUUUUGCAGGCGUUAUACAGAUAAUGUAUAGUGUAGUAUGCUGUGUAUUGUUGUGAAGGAAAGAUAAUGAUGAUGUCAUUUGUCAUUGUCACUUCACAAUAGUAUACGUACAUUUUGCCUAUACACAAUAUGUAUAACUUUUUGUUAAACAAACUUAUGUUUAUUAAUAUAUUGUAAUGUUGUCGUUAUUUUUAGCAGUUAUUAACUGUAGUAUA
RNAcentral lists this unclassified non-coding RNA (300 nucleotides) under Phylloporus sp. RNAcentral describes it as "partial contains small subunit ribosomal RNA and internal transcribed spacer 1". The stretch from base 1 to 46 matches the Rfam family "Eukaryotic small subunit ribosomal RNA", at positions 1786 to 1831 of the family's 1831-position model. The record is from RNAcentral. Lineage: Eukaryota; Fungi; Basidiomycota; Agaricomycetes; Boletales; Boletaceae.